Molecule: ribosomal RNA, 119 nt
Filed under: Pteropus alecto (black flying fox)
Lineage: Eukaryota; Metazoa; Chordata; Mammalia; Chiroptera; Pteropodidae
Source: RNAcentral
GUUUACGGCCAUACCACCCUGAACAAGCCCGAUCCUAUUUGAUCUCGGAAGCUAAGCAGGGUCAGGCCUGGUUAGUACUUGGAUGGGAGAACAACUAGGAAGACCAGGUGCUGUAAGUG